GAUUAACGCUGGCGGCGUGCAUAACACAUGCAAGUCGAACGAUGAAACUUAGUAGACUUCUUCGGAAAGACACUAAGCGGAUUAGUGGCGAACGGGUGAGUAACGCGUGAGUAACCUGCCUUACACAAGGGGAUAGCCUUUGGAAACGAUGAAUAAUACCCUAUAAAACCAUAAAAGCACAUGCUAGAAUGGUCAAAGUGAUAGCGGUGUAAGAUGGACUUGCGUCUGAUUAGCUAGUUGGUGAGAUAAAAGCUCACCAAGGCAACGAUCAGUAGCCGGCUUGAGAGAGUGUACGGCCACAUUGGGACUGAGACACGGCCCAGACUCCUACGGGAGGCAGCAGUGGGGAAUUUUGCACAAUGGGGGAAACCCUGAUGCAGCGACGCCGCGUGAUUUAGAAGGCCUUCGGGUUGUAAAAAUCUUUUGUAUAGGAAGAAAAUGACAGUACUAUACGAAUAAGGUCCGGCUAAUUACGUG
RNAcentral lists this ribosomal RNA (477 nucleotides) under uncultured bacterium. RNAcentral's name for it is "partial 16S ribosomal RNA". It matches the Rfam family "Bacterial small subunit ribosomal RNA", at positions 28 to 507 of the family's 1533-position model. The record is from RNAcentral.